Molecule: ribosomal RNA, 786 nt
Filed under: Triticum aestivum (bread wheat)
Lineage: Eukaryota; Viridiplantae; Streptophyta; Magnoliopsida; Poales; Poaceae
Description: partial small subunit ribosomal RNA
Source: RNAcentral
AUGGAGUCGGGCACCCUCAUAAACCACGCCCGCCAUCCCCGCAACAGCCACAAGGUCAUCGCCUCCUCGCCAGCGAUGGAGCACCAGGUCUUCCUGCUGAACCAGCAAGCGGUCGUGGUCACCGCGGUGGGCACCAAGGCGCACGCGGCGAGCCCGCUUUCCAUCGGCUGCGCGCUCGAGCGCGAACUCAAGAUCCCCCCGCACCUGCUCCGCAUCACCAACCACGACCCCGAGGACUUCUUCGUCUACUUCACCCUGUCGGCGCACAAGGACCUGGAAGUGCGGCGUGGCUCGCUGUCGGUGGAUGGCGUGCCAUUCCUACUCGAGCCCUGGAGGGAGGACGCCCACGCCAUCUGACUCAAGUGGAUGCUGCACGUGCGUGUGGUCAUCGAGAAGCUUCCCAUGCAGCUCUGGACGAUGGAGGGCGCGGUGGAGGCCAUCGGCGACAAGGUCGUCGUCGACCGCCUCGACAGCCGGACUUACGAGCGCGUCGACACCAAGCUGUUCGCGUGCUGGGUCUGGUGCUGGGACACUGCACACAUCCCCACGAAGCGCAUGAUCUGGAAGCAUGCCCGGGGCGCUGGGCGCGUCGAUGAGAUGGUGGACUACUCCCCCCCCCCCCCGAGCCGCGCCGUGGCGCCUCUGCCAGAGCUACUGCAGUACGACAUGCUUCUCCACCUAGAUCGCGUGGAGGACUGGAUUCCGCUUUUGCCGCGUUCAUCCCACUCGCCGCAGAGCGGCAUCCCCUCCGACAACAACGAGCCCGACGAGCCCCCCCUACCCUAG